Molecule: ribosomal RNA, 568 nt
Filed under: Antillophos chazaliei
Lineage: Eukaryota; Metazoa; Mollusca; Gastropoda; Neogastropoda; Nassariidae
Description: partial 12S ribosomal RNA
Source: RNAcentral
CGGUUACACCAAGAGAUUAAGUUAUAUUUUAAGGUAAAAAGACAGUUAGGCUUAAAAUAAGUAAUAUUAAUGUUUAUUGACCGUUUAUACUAAGGUAAAAUUUAUAUAUAAAUAGCUAAAUCAAAUAUAACAUUAUUGCUGAAGCUGUGAUAAUUAUGAGGGAAACUGGGAUUAGAUACCCCAUUAUUCAUAAUUGUAAAUCUAACUAAAUUUACCAGAGUACUAUGAAUAAGAAUAAUUAAUUCAAAAUAGAAAUUUAAAACUCAAAGGGCUUGGCGGUGUUUUAGACCUAUCAGGGGAACCUGUCUCAUAAUCGACAAUCCACGUUAAACCUAACCUUACUUUGUACACAGUUUGUAUACCGUCGUCGUCAGGUAACUUUUAAAAAGCUAGAAGUUAGCAAUAUAAAUUACUGUAAAUUUAAACGUCAGAUCAAGGUGCAGCUAAUAGUAAGGAGAGGAUGGGUUACAAUUAUUUCAUUCGUAAUCACGGACAACUUAAUGAAAAAGGGUUUAAAGGAGGACUUGAAAGUAAAAUAAAAUAUAUAAACAGUUUGAAUAUGGCUCUG